ACCGCCUUCUGUUAUUAGAAAGCGUUUUUUUCUUUGGCGCCCAUGAGUGUGUCAGAAUUAACUGGUCAGGCUGCUCCAUCCCUUUUUCUUUUUCGUGCACGUUUUCCCAUGUUUGUAUUCCGAAGAAUACGUGACAGAUUUACUCUCACUUGUUCAGCAAUAACGCAACAAUGAAUCUUCGGAAUUCAACCCAUUAUUGAAAACCUAAAUUCCUAAGUUAUUUCACGUUGAUAAUUACAACUCAUUAUUUCCUUAUUUCCAAUUAAUUUUCAACUCAUCAGUCAUCGAUAUUCGACCAAGUUAUACAUAAAAAUUACAUUGUUUCGAGUGAUAAUUUUUUCUUCACAAUCUCAAAUAUCGAGGUAGUUUUAUUGGAUAUAAUUAGAGAAGAGUUUCGAAAAAUUGGAUACGAAACGUCAUCGUAUCCCCGUUGCUCGUCCCCUCUCGUCGCAGUCUCUCCGUUACGAAUAUUCCGGGUGCACUUGUUCACAAUUUCACAACGACAAGUUCCUCGUCCUUCAGCAUUUAAUCAAUGAAAUACCAGAGAAAACGGUGUGCAUGUGUAACAUACUGGCGCAGCUCGUGGAGCUAAAACAGUACGAAGAAAAUAUACGUGCGUUGUCUCCGCGCUUCAUUUUGGCUGCAGCGAAACGUGUUGCUAUUAUUCUAUUUUCUCAACGUGAACGACACGAGACGUUGCUCUCAUAGCAUCCGUUUUGCACUAUAAGGCGCUUGCCAGUUAGUGGCAGAUUGUAUGGUUGUACGCAGCGAGUUCUGAACAUCAAAUGUUCUUCAGCUCGAAGCAGAUGCUUCUCGAGUUAAUUACGUGUCUGGAAUAUCGAAGAUUCGGAGUCUUCGAAAAGUCAAACUGAAAAUGAUGAGGUUCAUUUGCUAGUUGUGAAAAAAGUAUGAGCUUUUAAAGUCCGACAUUCGAUCGCUGAGAGUGAAAAACAUUGUAAUAUGGAAAGUACGUAUGUUGCAGUCGAAAAUAUAUAUGUUUUCGAAUCUCUUACGGUGCAUAUUGAAAGCGAUGUAAUGGAUCGAUUAUUUACAGAACGUAUUUCACAUUAGCGAUCGUUCGCUUUCCAUUCAGCCUUCGAAUUCUAGCAACAUUUGCCAUUCAAUAAGCUUCAUUGGAUUUCUCUCUCAUUUCCGUUUCUAUACGUAUAGACGCGUCAUCAGUUAUGACAGUAUAUAGUCGAUGCUGAGUCCAUCAUCCUAUCAUUCUUGAAUUCGUAGCUCACGAUCAAUACAUUCAGUGUGAAAAUACAAGGCAACGGAGUCGCAGCUUUCACGUAAUCAUAUGACGAAAUGUCGCUUGUUCGUUACUCAACUUACGCGUUUCAUCGUCUCUGAAGCAGCAGUGAAUCACGAAUAUUGAAUUCACCUAUUAUCCCAUGGACCAUGUAAAAUAUUGAGAGCUCCGCAUUCGCCAUUCCCUCGGGCUAUAGAAAUGAACACACCCAACCAAAACGUUCAUGAGCCUGCUCGCUCAUGCAGUAUAUUGGAUAUUAACGUCAUUGUGACAGCUGCUAUUGAAGUAAAUGGACAUUCAUUAUAGGAUUUCAAGAGAUCCCGCCGAGCAUUCUAGUCUUUUCGUUGCUCGAGUACAUCGAAUUGAAAUUACACGGAGAAAACGAGGCCGAAAUAGUAAAAAGACCCACACCUUUUAUUCAAAUGACUCAAGGGUCUUUUUCUCUAUAAGCAUGUAUGUUUGGCAUGAUGAAUAACACUCG
This is a long non-coding RNA of Venturia canescens, 1736 nucleotides long. RefSeq lists it as uncharacterized. The transcript is spliced from 3 exons. The record is from RefSeq and is a predicted model, not a curated record. Lineage: Eukaryota; Metazoa; Arthropoda; Insecta; Hymenoptera; Ichneumonidae.